CCCACCCCAUCUUCCCCCUUUCCCCAAGCCAAAGGGGAAGAUCUGGAAGGAUGUUAUUAGAGAUACAGAGGGUUCUUAUAUGACUAACUUGCAUUACAAAAUUGCCUAAAGAAUUAUGAAAGAACUGAAUUCCAAAAAACACCUUCCUGUACAGUACUGCUCUCCUCUCCCUCCUCUUCUAUCACCUCUCCUCUCUCUCUGACCCUUAGCUUAGUGCUGAGGCCCCCACUCCACCCCACAAAACAAAACAAAACUCUCCAAGUGACAACAGAACAGAGACCUCCAGGGGAGAGAGAGAUCUUUGCUCUGCUCCACUCACUGCCCCCAACCUCUUCACAUGUGCUUGCAAAAGCCCCCUCCUUCCCUCCAUCAGUGCUUAACCCUCCUCAAAAAAACCCAUUCACUGUAGAGGCCUGCAAAAGAGUCCACUUACAUAAAUCCAGACCUGUCUAUAAUUAGAAAUGUAUUCCUUUGGCUAUUCCAGGACUCCCAAAGGUGUCCACUCCCAGAUCGCCUCCUGAGGGCUAAUAGAGCUGGAAGGGAAUGCUGAGGUCAUCCAGGCCCCAGGAGGCAGUUGCAGAUGGGGAAACUGGAGCCUAAAGGGGUUAAAUGACCUGCCAGAGGAUACACAAGCAACAAGUGGCAACAUUGAAAUUAAACUCAGAUUCCUGGAGGCCAAUGAAAGCACUCUUUGCACCUUUAGAAACUGGAUAAAUGGUUGCCAAGCUGGGGAAGCAGUUCUGAAGCUGGUACCCGGAGGAAGCACAGCUUGUUUGUACAUAAUUGUUUGCAUGCUGGAACAAUCAAGAAGUUGUGGGCUUACCUGGUUAUGUGCCUGGGGUGGGGGAGGGGAGGGCGCAGAGCCCAGAGCCCAGUGCAGGCUCAGAGGGGGCCCCCCCCCAGGAGUCAGGCAGACAACAAACACAUUUCUGAAAGCACCUAAUAUCUGCCAGACAGUGCUGAGCGCUAGAUGCAGAGGGGGAAGAAGAGACCUGGCAAUGUAAAGGGAGAGGGCGGCCCGGAAGCCACCAGCUGUUUACACACAUGCCAUAUACAGGAUGACCAGGAAAUCAUUAACAGAGGGAAGGCACCAGAGUUAAGAGGGAAAGCGAGCGUGGGAAGGGACGGCCUCGGCCAUUUGCCCUCUUCUUGGAGAGAUUUCAGCCAGGGAGCUGUUUUAUCCCAGUCAGGACUGUCUCCUCUUACCACCCAGCUCCCAGGAUGUUAGCAGAACCAGCUUCAAUAGAGGG
RNAcentral lists this long non-coding RNA (1250 nucleotides) under Monodelphis domestica (gray short-tailed opossum). Its description in RNAcentral is "lncRNA (ENSMODG00000042254.1)". The record is from RNAcentral. Lineage: Eukaryota; Metazoa; Chordata; Mammalia; Didelphimorphia; Didelphidae.